AUGCUACUCCCUCCGUCCAAAAACACUUGUCAUCGAAAUGGAUAAAAAGGGACGUAUCUAGAACUAAAAUACGUCUAGAUACAUCUCCUUUUAUUCAUUUUGAUGACAUGUAUUCCCAGACGGAGGGAGUACCUU
Triticum aestivum (bread wheat) is the source of this 135-nucleotide non-coding RNA. The record is from Rfam. NCBI's taxonomy places the organism in Eukaryota, Viridiplantae, Streptophyta, Magnoliopsida, Poales, Poaceae.